UUUUCUGGUCUGGUCAGAUUCCUCUGAUGAAGAUCCUCCAGUUGUGGGUGUGGUGUGAAACUAUACCCCUGUAAUCUUAUAAUCUUGUAAACCACUAUUAAAUCACUAAUAAAAUGUUUUUUUUAGAAAAAAAAAAAGAGAAAAAGAAAACCCCCAAUUUGCAGCUGGCAAAAAAGAAAAGAAAAGAAAAAAAAAAACACCUCACUUGGAUGGUGUGCUUGCUUUGCUAUGUAUACAAUCCAUGUUGGGUCUGGCCCCUACCUCAUUGGAGGAAGUUUUGGUGCUGCAGUUUCUCUCUCUCUCUCUCUCUCUCUCUCACAGAAAAUGUAAUCCUGGAGCAGUGAAACAACUUAUAUGAAAAAGAAAAGACCUCCAAUUUCCUACCCAGAGAAUCUGUGUUUGGUAGUCAGUUUUCUGGGGGGUCAUGAGGGGCAGAGGGCUCAGCACACAUGCCUGCCCAUUAAUACUAGGUGGUGACAACAAGAUUCUUGCACACUUCAAAUGGGGGAUUAUUCUGGGUUCUCAAGGAAAUCUGAGCCACCUGUUUCAGUCACCUCAUAGUGACUUAGUGGGAUGAUGGAGGGCGCCGCCCCGCCUGCUGUCAAUCAACGACCCCCCCUGCCCCGCCCACCGUCCUGGCCUGCGGAGGCAAUUUGCAUCAGCAGUUGGAGGCCCAGGCUGGGCUGUCCUCAUUGCCUGUGGCUUGGCCUUGGCCUGGGCCAGAGCAGCAGCUGCCAUCUAUCUGCCUGCGGAGAACUUUCCAGAUCCACAGCAGGUUGGCUCUCCGCCCCGGGGUCGGGCUGCCCAGUCUGGAGCUGUUUGUCAUGGAUAGCCGAAUGCUGUGGGGUCACCUUGAGGAACCAGCAAGUUGCAGAUGCUACCAUGAUGCCAACCUGGCUCCCCUGGACAGAGGAUCUCACCAGUGUACCCUGGAACCUCACCUCUCCAGAGCUCUGCCCCACCAGAGAAAGAGAAAGACAGGCUGGGAGUAUGGAUCGACCUGCCAACACCCAUGUUCAAAUGCAGAAGCCAGACUUUUUGCCUUCUGCACCCCAUAAUGAUCCUGUGUCCAUGCUCCCGGAGGGAUAAAGAAUAGGAAAGUUUUCAAGGGAGGGGAUGGGAUUCUAAACUCUGGUGGUGGAAAUUUUGUGGAAUUGUACCCUUCUUAUCCUAUAGUCUUGUUGAUAUUUUUUACUUUAUAAAUAACAAAAAAUAAUAAUAAAUAAAUAAAUAAAUGAAAGAGAGAGACACUGCAGGAGGGGGAGAGGAAGACUCUGACCUUGGCUAACCUCAUCUUCAUCAAGCUAACCUCAACUAUAGGCAAGCAUGGACUUCAGAAAGGAGUCCUGGUAACAGGCUAGAACAGUGGUCUGCAUAACAAGUUUCUGAGGCAGAAGAGCAGGAACUUGUUAGAAAUGCAGCUUCUCAGAGCAGGGUGGUGAUGCACCUGGUUGAGUGCAAACACUACCAUGUUCAAGGACCCAGGUUCAAAUCUCCACUCCCCACUUCCAGGGGGAAGCUUCACAAGUGAUGAAGCAGUGUUAUAGGUAUCUCUCUUUCUCUAACCCACCCCCCAUCCCCUCUCAAUUUUUCUCUGUCCUAUCAAAUUAAAAGAAAAAGAAAAAGAAAUAGCCUCUGGAAGUGAUGGAUUCAUAAUGUAGGCACUUAGCCCCAGCAGUAACCCUGGCAACAAUAAAAUAAUAAUAUUAAUAAUGAUGAUGAUGAUGAAAUACAGAUCUUUAGUCUGUAUCCUAUAGCCACUGAAUCAGAAACUCUGGGGGAUGGUGCCAUCUUCUUUGUUCCUUUAAAUGACCUUCCCACUGGGUGCAGUUGGAGAACCAUUGAUCUAACUUAGCCUGGCCCUUUGAAGGGUGGGGAGAGGUAGAUCUAGGCUAGGGAGAUGGGGUCACAAUAGCAUGUUCUUUAUCACUCAGUCUGUUGAGAAAGACCCAGGACAGGGUUUGCCUGGCUAGCUGACUUUCUGCCACUGCUUCUUCUGCCAGUCCACAUAGGACAAGGCUGUGAGCUUUUUUUUUUCUAUUUUAUUUUAUUUCAUGUUAUUUUCUUUUAUUUUACCAGAGCACUGCUCAGCUCUGGCUUAUGAUGGUGCACAGGAUUAAAGGCUGUGACCUUUGAACUGCCACUGACUGCCACAGUUGAACUGGUCACCUCUCUGUCAGAUGUGCUUGAGCCUUCACUGACCAAAACCCAGCUGCAGGUGAACUCUUCUUCUAGCGUUUGCCCUUCUUCCGUAGCCAGUCAACAGCAUCAGGUUGAACCUGAUGUAAAGUUUCGAGAACUAUUCCCAUUCUUCUCUACAUCCUUGUCCUCCUCUUUCUCUUUCUUCUCAUCUUCCUUCUUCACCUCCUCCUUUUCCUUUCCUUCCUCCUCUUUCUUUUUCCUAUCUUUCUUCUGUUUAUUUAUUCAUGAGUGGGAGGAGUGGGGGUGGGAGGGGGACAUGGAAUCAGAGUAUCACUCUGGCACAAAUGAUGCCAGGAAUUAAACUCAGGGCCUCAUGCUUGAGAGUCCCAAUGCCCCCAUCUACUGGGUCAUAUCCUGAGCUGCACCACACCCCUUCCUAUGGAGACAUAUUGGUCAGUCAGGUUUUGGCUCUUUGGUCAAUGUUGUGGCUAAGACUGAGAAAAGAAUUAUCUUUGACUUUAAGACAAGACCAGGUCCCUCACCCAUUGAAUUAGCUAAGUUCUGGUUCCUGCCUGCCUCAUUCUGCCCCCACUGAGUAAACGAGAUGCUCUGCCAUCUGUGACAGUGCUAUGGUCUUGACUAUUGGUCCAGGAGAGACCUCCUGACUGAGGGGAGCUGAGAAGACA
Molecule: long non-coding RNA, 2828 nt
Organism: Erinaceus europaeus (western European hedgehog)
Lineage: Eukaryota; Metazoa; Chordata; Mammalia; Eulipotyphla; Erinaceidae
Exons: 3
Source: RefSeq, a predicted model, not a curated record